GGACCAAUAGUGCUUGAUUCCCCUUUGCAUAACGAAUCGACCAUAUCAUGCUGUUAACUUGGACAAACCUUUUGAACCUCUCUGAACAUCGUGUGGGCUGCUGACUUCCUCUGAAAGCAGAAGGUAAGGUUGAAAACUUUCCCAACCAUAUUGGCCCUCCAAAUAUCAAGUCUGGAGCUUUAAAGUUUUCUUCAAGUCGAGAGUGAUCUGAAACAUAAAUAGCAUUUACUUGUGAUAAAGUGGGAGAGUGAGAGUUUGGAUAUAUAUAUAUAUAAGUAAGGUUUGACAAAAA
RNAcentral lists this long non-coding RNA (292 nucleotides) under Nicotiana benthamiana. RNAcentral's name for it is "long non-coding RNA (NBEN_LNC024647)". Lineage: Eukaryota; Viridiplantae; Streptophyta; Magnoliopsida; Solanales; Solanaceae. The record is from RNAcentral.